RNAcentral lists this ribosomal RNA (64 nucleotides) under Vagococcus humatus. RNAcentral's name for it is "partial 16S ribosomal RNA". It matches the Rfam family "Bacterial small subunit ribosomal RNA", at positions 1 to 63 of the family's 1533-position model. The record is from RNAcentral. Lineage: Bacteria; Bacillati; Bacillota; Bacilli; Lactobacillales; Enterococcaceae.
UUUUAUUGAGAGUUUGAUCCUGGCUCAGGACGAACGCUGGCGGCGUGCCUAAUACAUGCAAGUC